UGCCAGCAGCCGCGGUAAUACAGAGGUCCCGAGCGUUGUUCGGAUUCACUGGGCGUAAAGGGUGCGUAGGUGGCGAGGUAAGUUGAAUGUUAAAUCUUGGGGCUCAACCCCAAAACCGCAUUCAAUACUGCUUUGCUAGAGGAUUGUAGAGGAGACUGGAAUUCACGGUGUAGCAGUGAAAUGCGUAGAUAUCGUGAGGAAGGCCAGUGGCGAAAGCGAGUCUCUGGGCAAUUCCUGACACUGAGGCACGAAGGCCAGGGGAGCAAACGGGAUUAGAUACCCCGGUAGUCCUGGCAGUAAACGGUGCACGUUUGGUGUGGGAGGAUUCGACCCCUUCCGUGCCGUAGUUAACACGAUAAACGUGCCGCCUGAGGAGUACGGUCGCAAGAUUAAAACUCAAAGGAAUUGACGGGGGCCCGCACAAG
RNAcentral lists this ribosomal RNA (425 nucleotides) under uncultured bacterium. Its description in RNAcentral is "bacterial SSU rRNA". It matches the Rfam family "Bacterial small subunit ribosomal RNA", at positions 506 to 929 of the family's 1533-position model. The record is from RNAcentral.